Molecule: ribosomal RNA, 1032 nt
Filed under: Staphylococcus aureus
Lineage: Bacteria; Bacillati; Bacillota; Bacilli; Caryophanales; Staphylococcaceae
Description: partial 23S ribosomal RNA
Rfam family: Bacterial large subunit ribosomal RNA
Source: RNAcentral
UCGAUUCCCUUAGUAGCGGCGAGCGAAACGGGAAGAGCCCAAACCAACAAGCUUGCUUGUUGGGGUUGUAGGACACUCUAUACGGAGUUACAAAGGACGACAUUAGACGAAUCAUCUGGAAAGAUGAAUCAAAGAAGGUAAUAAUCCUGUAGUCGAAAAUGUUGUCUCUCUUGAGUGGAUCCUGAGUACGACGGAGCACGUGAAAUUCCGUCGGAAUCUGGGAGGACCAUCUCCUAAGGCUAAAUACUCUCUAGUGACCGAUAGUGAACCAGUACCGUGAGGGAAAGGUGAAAAGCACCCCGGAAGGGGAGUGAAAUAGAACCUGAAACCGUGUGCUUACAAGUAGUCAGAGCCCGUUAAUGGGUGAUGGCGUGCCUUUUGUAGAAUGAACCGGCGAGUUACGAUUUGAUGCAAGGUUAAGCAGUAAAUGUGGAGCCGUAGCGAAAGCGAGUCUGAAUAGGGCGUUUAGUAUUUGGUCGUAGACCCGAAACCAGGUGAUCUACCCUUGGUCAGGUUGAAGUUCAGGUAACACUGAAUGGAGGACCGAACCGACUUACGUUGAAAAGUGAGCGGAUGAACUGAGGGUAGCGGAGAAAUUCCAAUCGAACCUGGAGAUAGCUGGUUCUCUCCGAAAUAGCUUUAGGGCUAGCCUCAAGUGAUGAUUAUUGGAGGUAGAGCACUGUUUGGACGAGGGGCCCCUCUCGGGUUACCGAAUUCAGACAAACUCCGAAUGCCAAUUAAUUUAACUUGGGAGUCAGAACAUGGGUGAUAAGGUCCGUGUUCGAAAGGGAAACAGCCCAGACCACCAGCUAAGGUCCCAAAAUAUAUGUUAAGUGGAAAAGGAUGUGGCGUUGCCCAGACAACUAGGAUGUUGGCUUAGAAGCAGCCAUCAUUUAAAGAGUGCGUAAUAGCUCACUAGUCGAGUGACACUGCGCCGAAAAUGUACCGGGGCUAAACAUAUUACCGAAGCUGUGGAUUGUCCUUUGGACAAUGGUAGGAGAGCGUUCUAAGGGCGUUGAAGCAUGAUCGUAA